AGCUUUGUGCAGCGGCAGUAUCAUACCCAGUGAGGUUUAUCCGAGACGCGAUUAUUGCUAAUUGAAAACAAUUAUUCACAUAGGAUGUCACAGAAUACUAAUUUUAAAAAGUAUGCCCUUUUUUGUGUGUAUCUUUAGGGAGG
Leptonychotes weddellii (Weddell seal) is the source of this 143-nucleotide non-coding RNA. Lineage: Eukaryota; Metazoa; Chordata; Mammalia; Carnivora; Phocidae. The record is from RefSeq and is a predicted model, not a curated record.